GAUGAACGCUGGCGGCGUGCCUAAUACAUGCAAGUCGAGCGAACAGACGAGGAGCUUGCUCCUCUGACGUUAGCGGCGGACGGGUGAGUAACACGUGGAUAACCUACCUAUAAGACUGGGAUAACUUCGGGAAACCGGAGCUAAUACCGGAUAAUAUAUUGAACCGCAUGGUUCAAUAGUGAAAGACGGUUUUGCUGUCACUUAUAGAUGGAUCCGCGCCGCAUUAGCUAGUUGGUAAGGUAACGGCUUACCAAGGCGACGAUGCGUAGCCGACCUGAGAGGGUGAUCGGCCACACUGGAACUGAGACACGGUCCAGACUCCUACGGGAGGCAGCAGUAGGGAAUCUUCCGCAAUGGGCGAAAGCCUGACGGAGCGACGCCGCGUGAGUGAUGAAGGUCUUCGGAUCGUAAAACUCUGUUAUUAGGGAAGAACAAAUGUGUAAGUAACUAUGCACGUCUUGACGGUACCUAGUCAGAAAGCCACGGCUAACUACGUG
Molecule: ribosomal RNA, 497 nt
Filed under: uncultured bacterium
Lineage: Bacteria
Description: partial 16S ribosomal RNA
Rfam family: Bacterial small subunit ribosomal RNA
Source: RNAcentral